AUCGCCUCCGGCGCCUCCCUCACGUGUCCCCUCUCGCACGACCAGAACCCCAUCGCCUCCGGCGCCUCCCUUCUCUCACGGACAGAACCCAUCCCCUCUCGAUGGAGGGGAUACUACUGUUAGUGACACUGAGGAAUGAAGUGAAGGAGCUGGAUUGCUUGGAGGAAGCUUGAAGUCUGACUUGAUGAUUAGUUGUGUAAUUUGUGUAAUUUCAGAUUUCAGAUUUGAUGAUUAGUUGUUGACUUGUUGGGAAUUUGAUUAUGGAAGGGAUUUCUGCAACUCCGACUUCUAUACCAGCUGAAACUGCAGACUCUAGCAUAGGGACGACCCCCACACCGAGUCCGAGUGCUGCAGUUAUUCAUAGUGAUGUUCCAAUAAUGAUAGAGGGAUUGAUCGGACUAGUGCAUUCUACUAAAGCCUCUUCAAGAACCAGAGAAGAUGACCAAUAUUAUUCUUCAAGCUCUGAAAAUUACUGGACAAAGAGGCAUUAUCAACAAAGGCUGGGGUUGGUAAUUUACAAUCAAAUGAUUCUAUGUACUUAGUGGACAAUUGCCCCCAUGAUGACUCUUCCUCGGAUGCUCUGUUGUGGUCAGGAACGUUACCAUAGCCUGACUCCCAUGUAUUACUGCGGUGCAGCUGCAGCUGUUGGUCUAUGAUAUCACAAGCAUGGAGUCAUUUGUUUUUAGCAAGCUAAGAAGUGGGUUUUUGAAUUGCAAAGACAAGCAAAUCCAACUUUAAUAAUGUUCUUGGCUGGAAACAAGGCUGACUUGGAAGAGAAGAGAAAAGUAGGGACUGAGAAAAGUAGUCCUCAUUUAGGAAGCAAAGAUCUAUCCGGGCAUAAAUGGUUAGGAAGUAGAGACAGUACGUAGUCUGCAGAAGGCAAUCAGAAAACAAGUAGUGAAGUCUUUGACCAUUGCGCAAUAGAUACACUGCUGAUUUCUCAUGGGACAAGUACACUCUUCAUGAAGGACCUUUUGAGGAGGUUGGAGCAAUGUGCUAAACCUUUUAUCAAUGGGGUAGAUUAGUUUAUGCUGAUGUUAACAAACUAUAUUUCAUGGUUUGAUUAUGACUUUCAUCAUUGGGAUAUAUGAUAAUACAUUGGAAGUUAUGUCUUUUUAAAUAA
This is a long non-coding RNA of Rosa rugosa (rugosa rose), 1123 nucleotides long. RefSeq lists it as uncharacterized. The record is from RefSeq and is a predicted model, not a curated record. The transcript is spliced from 9 exons. NCBI's taxonomy places the organism in Eukaryota, Viridiplantae, Streptophyta, Magnoliopsida, Rosales, Rosaceae.